AGACCGAUAGCGAACAAGACCGAUAGCGAACAAGAUGAAAAGUACUUUGAAAAGAGAGUUAAACAGUAUGUGAAAUUGCCAAGAGGGAAGCAUUUGGAGUUAGACUGACUUGGAAGUUAAUCAGCUUGGUCUUUGGACUGGGUGUACUUGACUUCUAUGUCUGCCAAUAGCAGUUAGUCCUGGUGGAAAAAACUGAAGGGAAGGUAGUCCUUCGGGAUGUUUAUAGACCUUUGGAAAAUACACUGGGAUUGACUGAGGAAUGCAGUAGAUGCUAUUAAGGCUUCGUCUAGUAGGUGUUAGGUGAAGGUACUUGGUAUUUUCAGCUUGCUGAUGUGCUAGGUUACUUGAGCUUAAUUGCUUGCUAGAACUGUAAUCUACUUUGGUUAUUGGCUUAAUGACUCUAAAUGACCCGUCUUGAAACACGGACCAAG
RNAcentral lists this ribosomal RNA (431 nucleotides) under Absidia sp. SW097. Its description in RNAcentral is "LSU rRNA". It matches the Rfam family "Eukaryotic large subunit ribosomal RNA", at positions 331 to 670 of the family's 3401-position model. The record is from RNAcentral. Lineage: Eukaryota; Fungi; Mucoromycota; Mucoromycetes; Mucorales; Cunninghamellaceae.